UAUCGAUGAAGUAGAACCUUUAAAACUGGCGACGCCUAUGUUUUCUUACUAACCAUCCUGAAAUUGCUAAAGUGAGUCAUCAUUCGCAUAACUGAAUUUUCUAGCAGCUGUCUAUAUUCGUGUACAAUGUAGCGGCGUAUCCACUGUAUCCGUUUACUCUCAUUUCGAUUGUUUUUCUAAUUUUUCUUUAUUUUUAUUAAGCAUUUUGCAUUCGAUGCUUCUUUGGCACCAAAGAUUCUGAGCUCGAAACCUACACUGGCUUUUGUUGAGAUAAAUGUCAUGUUGGUAUGAUCGCUAGUUCCUACAUCCAGUGUUAGAACAACUGCUUUGCGAUUCUCUUCUGUUUUUCCCCAUCCGUCACGUCUUUUUUAUCUGAGUUUUCGCUGUGUGUAAAUGGCUGUACAAGGUGUUGAAGUACACAGGAUACACAGGUGUGAAGUACACAGUACAAUGAAGUACACAGGAUACAACAGGAUAAUCUGUAUGAAUCAAUUGAAUUUCAAAACCCAAACCAAUGUAAUAACAGCUUUAAACAGCAUCUGAAAAACGAUAAGUUCAAUAAUCUCGCUGUUCAUUUGAUUCGCAUUUAUUUUGCGAAAGACGAUAUAAAUAUUUUCUCCCACGUACUUAACAAAGGAAGGUUAUAGAUAUGCACUUAAUUUAAAGAAAUGGUGAAAAAUUAUGAGAUUUAGUCUAAGUGCAUCCUUUACUGGCUUUACUGAACUACGCAAUUAUCGUGUACACCAAUAAAUGGCAUCAAAUGCACAUGUUAUACAUUAUUUGACAUACUCUAUUGUGAAUUAUCCUUCGAAGGCUUUGCUAUAUUGUUUUAUCAAAAGAAUUUAGAGUGACUUGUGUGCAACUAUCUACCCUAUUCUAUAAAUUAUUUCAAGAAAUACCAUGAACCAUACAGGUCUUCGUUAAGGCCUUAACAGAGAAAACUAUUACUCUUGAAGACGAAGCUUCUGACACGAUAGAGAAUGUUAAAGCAAGGAACUUUUAAAACCCUGUGCAUUAAGUUUAGAGACAAAUCAUUGAGAAAGUGUUCAGAGUAGUUUACUUCCAAUCACCUUGACUUGAAAUCUGAACAAACUGCUACCUACUUCUUCAAAUUUAUAUUUUACACAAAAUGAACAUAAUGAGGAAAUUAAUUUUGAAUAUCAAAGAUGAAACAAAGGAGAAACAAUGGUUUGUAAAUGAAGAUGAAGAUGAAGCAAUGCUAACUUGUUCAAAAAGUAGAAAGAAUUGUUACAGUCCAUUCAGCCACAAGAUUUAAAUAUUCAACACAAAGAAGAUGUUGAUGCUAUUCUUGAAUAUGUGCCUCAAUUUAGUCUAUUGCGCCAACAAAAUGUUCUUCCAAAUAUGAAGGAUGAAAAUGUAUUUAGGGAAAAUACACCAUCACCACCACGUUACAGGACACCUCCAAGAGGAAUGAUUUUAAAUUCAGAAGAAGCAAAAGUGUUUAUUUUACUAAAACAUUACGGAUUAGGUCAAUACCUAAAUUCCUCGUUCAAGAAGUUGACAUUGAUUUGUUUAUGACUUUAACUAAUGAAAUGAACUAAUGAACUAAUUGAGAUUGGUA
Molecule: long non-coding RNA, 1582 nt
Organism: Bombus terrestris (buff-tailed bumblebee)
Lineage: Eukaryota; Metazoa; Arthropoda; Insecta; Hymenoptera; Apidae
Exons: 6
Source: RefSeq, a predicted model, not a curated record